Molecule: ribosomal RNA, 494 nt
Filed under: uncultured bacterium
Lineage: Bacteria
Description: partial 16S ribosomal RNA
Rfam family: Bacterial small subunit ribosomal RNA
Source: RNAcentral
GACGAACGCUGGCGGCGUGCUUAACACAUGCAAGUCGAACGGAAAGGCCUGCUUUCCCUUGUGGAUUGCGGGUACUCGAGUGGCGAACGGGUGAGUAACACGUGAGUGAUCUGCCCCCAACUUGGGUAUAAGCCUGGGAAACUGGGUCUAAUUCCCGAUAGGACUGCAGGGUGGUGCCUGUGGUGGAAAACGAUUUACUAGUGGUUGGGGAUGAGCUCGCGGCCUAUCAGCUUGUUGGUGGGGUAAUGGCCUACCAAGGCGGCGACGGGUAGCCGGCCUGGGAGGGUGGACGGCCACAUUGGGACUGAGAUACGGCCCAGACUCCUACGGGAGGCAGCAGUGGGGAAUAUUGCACAAUGGGCGGAAGCCUGAUGCAGCGACGCCGCGUGGGGGAUGACGGCCUUCGGGUUGUAAACUCCUUUCGACCGCGAGGAAGCCACCUGGUUGGAAGGGUGGUGACGGUAGUGGUAGAAGAAGCACCGGCUAACUACGUG